GGAUAACCCGGGGGAACUCGGGCUAAUACCGCAUAAUCUCUAUGCAAAGCGGGGGAUCUUUUGCCCUCGUGCUAUAAGAUGAGCCUACGUCGGAUUAGCUUGUUGGUGGGGUAAUGGCCUACCAAGGCGACGAUCCGUAGCUGGUCUGAGAGGACGAUCAGCCACACUGGGACUGAGACACGGCCCAGACUCCUACGGGAGGCAGCAGUGGGGAAUAUUGGACAAUGGGGGAAACCCUGAUCCAGCAAUGCCGCGUGUGUGAAGAAGGCCUUCGGGUUGUAAAGCACUUUCGGUGGGGAAGAAAUUCUCAAGGGUAAUAUCCUUGGGCGUUGACGUUACCCACAGAAGAAGCACUGGCUAACUCUGUGCCAGCAGCCGCGGUAAUACAGAGAGUGCAAGCGUUAAUCGGAAUCACUGGGCGUAAAGCGCGCGUAGGUGGAUAUUUAAGUCGGAUGUGAAAGCCCUGGGCUUAACCUGGGAAUUGCACCCGAUACUAGGUAUCUUGAGUAUGGUAGAGGGAAGUGGAAUUUCCGGUGUAGCGGUGAAAUGCGUAGAUAUCGGAAAGAACACCAGUGGCGAAGGCGACUUCCUGGACCAAUACUGACACUGAGGCGCGAAAGCGUGGGGAGCAAACAGGAUUAGAGACCCUGGUAGUCCACGCCGUCAACGAUGAGAACUAGCUGUUGGGAAGUUCCCUUCUUAGUAGCGAAGCUAACGCGUUAAGUUCUCCGCCUGGGGAGUACGGCCGCAAGGUUAAAACUCAAAGAAAUUGACGGGGGCCCGCACAAGCGGUGGAGCAUGUGGUUUAAUUCGAUGCAACGCGAAAAACCUUACCUACCCUUGACAUCCUCGGAACUUGUCAGAGAUGAUUUGGUGCCUUCGGGAACCGAGUGACAGGUGCUGCAUGGCUGUCGUCAGCUCGUGUCGUGAGAUGUUGGGUUAAAGUCCCGUAACGAGCGCAACCCCUCGUCCUUAGUUGCCAGCGAGUCAGUCGGGAACUCUAACGAGACUGCCGGUGAUAAACCGGAGGAAGGUGGGGAUGAUGUCAAGUCAUCAUGGCCCUUCCGGGUAGGGCUACACACGUGCUACAAUGGGCAGUACAAAGGGUUGCCAACCCGCGAGGUGGAGCUAAUCCCAGAAAACUGCUCGUAGUCCGGAUUGGAGUCUGCUACUCGACUCCAUGAAGUUGGAAUCGCUAGUAAUCGCGAAUCAGAAUGUCGCGGUGAAUACGUUCUCGGGCCUUGUACACACCGCCCGUCACACCAUGGGAGUG
Molecule: ribosomal RNA, 1273 nt
Filed under: Coxiella-like endosymbiont
Lineage: Bacteria; Pseudomonadati; Pseudomonadota; Gammaproteobacteria; Legionellales; Coxiellaceae
Description: bacterial SSU rRNA
Rfam family: Bacterial small subunit ribosomal RNA
Source: RNAcentral